AAAAAAAAAAGUAUAAUAAAAGUCUGACAAUGGAAAAACUGAAAAUUAAAAAUUGAAAAAUGAAAAAUAGAUAAAUGAAUAUGUUCUUCAAUUUUCCAAUUGGAAAGUUGGAAAACUAAGGAAUGGAGGAAAAAACUGGAAAAUGAACAUAGUAAAUGUUUUUCACAGCUAAACAAGGCCUAAAGGUUUAUUUAAGUGAUUUUAAAGCCCAACAUUAACUCCAAUUGAUUAGAAAGUACUGUAGAUUUUGAGCUUUUACCUGAGGUUUCUUGGGAAGUUAUUUAGUGCCAUAAAUGCUCAAAUUUUUUUUUUUUGUGUGGAGUUUAUGUUUGGUUUCCUACUAAUUGAGCAGAAGAAAGUAAUGUCACUUCAAUGUAUGUUUUGAAAUUCCUAGUAUAAUCAUAUUACUGAAUUUUUAAUGAUUGUUUUGCAGUCAAUUGAAACUUUCACAUCCAGAUCACAUGCUUGUCAAACGUUCAUCAUCUGCUGAAGAGAACUUUGAA
RNAcentral lists this unclassified non-coding RNA (503 nucleotides) under Hevea brasiliensis (rubber tree). The record is from RNAcentral. Lineage: Eukaryota; Viridiplantae; Streptophyta; Magnoliopsida; Malpighiales; Euphorbiaceae.